Molecule: ribosomal RNA, 253 nt
Filed under: uncultured bacterium
Lineage: Bacteria
Description: partial 16S ribosomal RNA
Rfam family: Bacterial small subunit ribosomal RNA
Source: RNAcentral
UACAGAGGGGGCCAGCGUUAUUCGGAAUUAUUGGGCGUAAAGGGCGCGUAGGCGGCCAUGCGUGUCUUCCGUGAAAUUCCUCGGCUUAACCGAGGACGUGCGGAAGAAACUGCAAGGCUCGAGUCCGGAAGAGGGGGGCGGAAUUCCCAGUGUAGCGGUGAAAUGCGUAGAUAUUGGGAGGAACACCAGUGGCGAAGGCGGUCCCCUGGGCCGGAACUGACGCUGAGGCGCGAAAGCGUGGGUAGCAAACGGG